This 429-nucleotide ribosomal RNA is filed under the name Verrucomicrobiota bacterium. Its description in RNAcentral is "Verrucomicrobia bacterium partial 16S ribosomal RNA". It matches the Rfam family "Bacterial small subunit ribosomal RNA", at positions 355 to 776 of the family's 1533-position model. Lineage: Bacteria; Pseudomonadati; Verrucomicrobiota. The record is from RNAcentral.
UAGGGAAUCUUCCGCAAUGGACGAAAGUCUGACGGAGCAACGCCGCGUGAGUGAGGAAGGAUUUCGGUUCGUAAAACUCUGUUGUUAGGGAAGAAAAAAUGUAUAGUAACUAUAUACAAAAGAGACGGUACCUAACCAGAAAGCCACGGCUAACUACGUGCCAGCAGCCGCGGUAAUACGUAGGUGGCAAGCGUUGUCCGGAAUUAUUGGGCGUAAAGCGCGCGCAGGUGGUUUAGAAAGUCUGAUGUGAAAGCCCACGGCUCAACCGUGGAGGGUCAUUGGAAACUAAUAAACUUGAGUGCAGGAGAGAAAAGUGGAAUUCCUAGUGUAGCGGUGAAAUGCGUAGAGAUUAGGAGGAACACCGGUGGCGAAAGCGGCUUUUUGGCCUGCAACUGACACUGAGGCGCGAAAGCGUGGGGAGCAAACAGG